GCGCUUGUAGCUCAGUUGGAUAGAGCAACGGACUUCUAAUCCGUAGGUCGCGGGUUCGAAUCCUGCCAAGCGCG
Synergistales bacterium 58_81 is the source of this 74-nucleotide non-coding RNA. NCBI's taxonomy places the organism in Bacteria, Thermotogati, Synergistota, Synergistia, Synergistales. The record is from Rfam.